This 408-nucleotide ribosomal RNA is filed under the name Triticum aestivum (bread wheat). Its description in RNAcentral is "partial small subunit ribosomal RNA". The record is from RNAcentral. Lineage: Eukaryota; Viridiplantae; Streptophyta; Magnoliopsida; Poales; Poaceae.
AUGCUCAAAAUAGAUUUGGCUAAAGCUUUCGACAGGUUAGAAUGGCACUUCAUCACCUCGGCUUUACAAUGUAAAGGGUUGCAUGGCCAUUUCAUAAAGCUUAUCCAUGCCUGUAUCCCCUCGCCGACUUUUUCUGUUAACAUAAAUGGACAAUCUUUUGCGCACUUUAAAAGUAGUCGAGGUAUCGGCCAGGGGUGUCCCCUCUCUCCUUUGCUAUUUGUGCUUGUAGUGAAUGAACUAUCGUUGGCACUUCAGGAUACACUUCAAUCCAACCACCUGGCAGGUAUCUCACUUGGACCGGGAUGCCCUCCUAUCCACUCUUUAAUGUUUGCCAAUGAUUUGUUGGUUUGUGGAAAAGCUAAUGUACAGGAGGCAUCUACUAUCUCCAGUAUUUUACAUCAGUUUUGU